RNAcentral lists this ribosomal RNA (253 nucleotides) under uncultured bacterium. Its description in RNAcentral is "partial 16S ribosomal RNA". It matches the Rfam family "Bacterial small subunit ribosomal RNA", at positions 524 to 776 of the family's 1533-position model. The record is from RNAcentral.
UACGGAGGGGGCUAGCGUUGUUCGGAAUUACUGGGCGUAAAGCGCGCGUAGGCGGACCUGCAAGUCGGGGGUGAAAGCCCGAGGCUCAACCUCGGAACUGCCUUCGAUACUGCGGGUCUCGAGUCCGGGAGAGGGGGGUGGAAUUCCCAGUGUAGCGGUGAAAUGCGUAGAUAUUGGGAGGAACACCGGUGGCGAAGGCGGCCCCCUGGACCGGUACUGACGCUGAGGCGCGAAAGCGUGGGUAGCAAACGGG